AACGCGCAGCUGAUCGAGGUCCUC
Molecule: non-coding RNA, 24 nt
Filed under: Arabidopsis thaliana (thale cress)
Lineage: Eukaryota; Viridiplantae; Streptophyta; Magnoliopsida; Brassicales; Brassicaceae
Source: RNAcentral